This 240-nucleotide ribosomal RNA is filed under the name uncultured bacterium. Its description in RNAcentral is "partial 16S ribosomal RNA". It matches the Rfam family "Bacterial small subunit ribosomal RNA", at positions 523 to 762 of the family's 1533-position model. The record is from RNAcentral.
AUACGUAGGGGGCAAGCGUUGUCCGGAUUUAUUGGGCGUAAAGGGCGUGUAGGCGGUAGAUUAAGUCAGAUGUGAAAGUUAGGGGCUCAACCCCGAAAUAGCAUUUGAAACUGGUUUACUUGAGUACUGGAGAGGUAAGCGGAAUUCCUAGUGUAGCGGUGAAAUGCGUAGAUAUUAGGAGGAACACCGGUGGCGAAGGCGGCUACCUGGACCGAUACUGACGCUGAGACGCGAAAGCGU